CCUGCCCCUUGAGGUGUUGCAGUCCAACAUUGUGUUGAGCCUGUGUCAUAAGGUGGCAGAGAACAAAAGGUCACCAUCAUCAUUCAAGACCCUCAAUAGAGGGAACUUGUGGUGAUGUGUUUUACCAA
This 128-nucleotide small nucleolar RNA is filed under the name Mastacembelus armatus (zig-zag eel). Its description in RNAcentral is "Small nucleolar RNA SNORA17 (ENSMAMG00000019236.2)". It matches the Rfam family "Small nucleolar RNA SNORA17". From Rfam's summary of the family: snoRNA ACA 17 belongs to the H/ACA family of snoRNAs and is predicted to guide pseudouridylation of the 28S rRNA at positions U4659 and U4598. It shares the same host gene together with ACA43. NB This family has a high threshold value to exclude a large number of closely related sequences that do not appear to have conserved H and ACA boxes, and may be pseudogenes. The record is from Rfam by way of RNAcentral. Lineage: Eukaryota; Metazoa; Chordata; Actinopteri; Synbranchiformes; Mastacembelidae.